Molecule: ribosomal RNA, 329 nt
Filed under: uncultured eukaryote
Lineage: Eukaryota
Description: partial 18S ribosomal RNA
Rfam family: Eukaryotic small subunit ribosomal RNA
Source: RNAcentral
CCCUUAGAUGUUCUGGGCCGCACGCGCGCUACACUGAUGCAUUCAACGAGUCUAAAACCUGCUCUGAUAGGGGUGGGUAAUCUUUUGAAUGUGCAUCGUGAUUGGGAUUGAUGAUUGCAAUUUUUCAUCUUCAACGAGGAAUGCCUAGUAAACGCAAGUCAUCAGCUUGCAUUGAUUACAUCCCUGCCAUUUGUACACACCGCCCGUCGCUCCUACCGAUUGAAUGAUCCGAUGAAUAUCAUGGAUUGAGGAUGCAAGCAGGUUCGCCUGUCUUCAUCUUCGAGAAGUGAAGUAAAUCUUAUCAUUUAGAGGAAGGAGAAGUCGUAACA